This 321-nucleotide ribosomal RNA is filed under the name uncultured eukaryote. RNAcentral's name for it is "partial 18S ribosomal RNA". It matches the Rfam family "Eukaryotic small subunit ribosomal RNA", at positions 1470 to 1796 of the family's 1831-position model. The record is from RNAcentral.
CCCUUAGAUGCUCUGGGCCGCACGCGCGCUACACUGACCAGUGCAACAAGCAUCCGUCCUUGGCCGACAGGCCCGGGCAAUCUUUGAACGCUGGUCGUGAUGGGGAUAGACUUUUGCAAUUUUUGGUCUUCAACGAGGAAUUCCUAGUAAACGCAAGUCAUCAACUUGCAUUGAUUACGUCCCUGCCCUUUGUACACACCGCCCGUCGCACCUACCGAUUGAAUGGUCCGGUGAAAUCUCGGGACGGCGGCUCGGUCGCUUGCGUCCGACUGCUGAAACUUGAUUAAACCAUAUCAUUUAGAGGAAGGUGAAGUCGUAACA